Molecule: ribosomal RNA, 645 nt
Filed under: uncultured Sporomusa sp.
Lineage: Bacteria; Bacillati; Bacillota; Negativicutes; Selenomonadales; Sporomusaceae
Description: bacterial SSU rRNA
Rfam family: Bacterial small subunit ribosomal RNA
Source: RNAcentral
AAACUCAAAGGAAUUGACGGGGGCCCGCACAAGCGGUGGAGUAUGUGGUUUAAUUCGACGCAACGCGAAGAACCUUACCAGGGCUUGACAUUGAGUGAAAGUUCUAGAGAUAGAAUCCUAUCCUUCGGGAUACACGAAAACAGGUGGUGCAUGGCUGUCGUCAGCUCGUGUCGUGAGAUGUUGGGUUAAGUCCCGCAACGAGCGCAACCCUUAUCCUUUGUUGCCAGCGAGUAAUGUCGGGAACUCAAGGGAGACUGCCGUCGACAAGACGGAGGAAGGCGGGGAUGACGUCAAGUCAUCAUGCCCCUUAUGUCCUGGGCUACACACGUACUACAAUGGGCUUAAACAAAGCGAAGCAAGACCGCGAGGUCAAGCAAAACGCAUAAACAAGCUCUCAGUUCGGAUCGGAGGCUGCAACUCGCCUCCGUGAAGUCGGAAUCGCUAGUAAUCGCAGGUCAGCAUACUGCGGUGAAUACGUUCCCGGGCCUUGUACACACCGCCCGUCACACCACGAAAGUUGACAACACCCGAAGCCGGUGGGGUAACCAGCAAUGGAACUAGCCGUCUAAGGUGGGGCCGAUGAUUGGGGUGAAGUCGUAACAAGGUAGCCGUAUCGGAAGGUGCGGCUGGAUCACCUCCUUUAUG